AACCUCUCCGGUGACCUAGUGGUUAGAGCGUCCGCCUCGAAUGCGGAAGGUCACGGGUUCGAACCACGGCCAAGUCA
This is a non-coding RNA of Potamilus streckersoni, 77 nucleotides long. The record is from the annotation of a GenBank genome assembly. Lineage: Eukaryota; Metazoa; Mollusca; Bivalvia; Unionida; Unionidae.